RNAcentral lists this ribosomal RNA (253 nucleotides) under uncultured bacterium. RNAcentral describes it as "partial 16S ribosomal RNA". It matches the Rfam family "Bacterial small subunit ribosomal RNA", at positions 524 to 776 of the family's 1533-position model. The record is from RNAcentral.
UACGUAGGGUGCGAGCGUUAAUCGGAAUUACUGGGCGUAAAGCGUGCGCAGGCGGUUUUGUAAGCCAGAUGUGAAAUCCCCGGGCUUAACCUGGGAAUGGCAUUUGGGACUGCAAGGCUUGAGUGCGGCAGAGGAGACUGGAAUUCCUGGUGUAGCAGUGAAAUGCGUAGAUAUCAGGAGGAACACCGAUGGCGAAGGCAGCCCCCUGGGUUAACACUGACGCUCAGGCACGAAAGCGUGGGGAGCAAACAGG